UGGGGUGUAGCUCAGUGGUAGAGCACUUGCCUAGCAUAGGUAUGGCCCUGGGUUUGAUCCCCAGCACUGCUA
This 72-nucleotide transfer RNA is filed under the name Heterocephalus glaber (naked mole-rat). It matches the Rfam family "tRNA". Rfam says of the family: Transfer RNA (tRNA) molecules are approximately 80 nucleotides in length. Lineage: Eukaryota; Metazoa; Chordata; Mammalia; Rodentia; Bathyergidae. The record is from Rfam by way of RNAcentral.